GUGAAUCAUCGAAUCUUUGAACGCACAUUGCGCCCGCCAGUAUUCUGGCGGGCAUGCCUGUCCGAGCGUCAUUUCAACCCUCGAACCCCUCCGGGGGGUCGGCGUUGGGGAUCGGCCCUUCACGGGGCCGGCCCCGAAAUACAGUGGCGGUCUCGCCGCAGCCUCUCCUGCGCAGUAGUUUGCACACUCGCAUCGGGAGCGCGGCGCGUCCAUUGCCGUAAAACACCCAACUUUCUGAAAUGUUGACCUCGGAUCAGGUAGGAAUACCCGCUGAACUUAAGCAUAUCAAUAAGCGGAGGA
Molecule: unclassified non-coding RNA, 300 nt
Filed under: Trichoderma sp.
Lineage: Eukaryota; Fungi; Ascomycota; Sordariomycetes; Hypocreales; Hypocreaceae
Description: partial contains 5.8S ribosomal RNA, internal transcribed spacer 2, and large subunit ribosomal RNA
Rfam family: 5.8S ribosomal RNA (bases 1-71)
Source: RNAcentral